AUGGCAUCACCAGAAACCAAGAAGAUGGUAAGGCCUGGAGGUGGCAGAGCUGAAGAG
This 57-nucleotide unclassified non-coding RNA is filed under the name Homo sapiens (human). RNAcentral describes it as "long intergenic non-protein coding RNA 824 (ENSG00000282114.1)". The record is from RNAcentral. Lineage: Eukaryota; Metazoa; Chordata; Mammalia; Primates; Hominidae.